UUCAAUCCCGGGACGGGGUAGGGAUGUGCACACGAUCGCCACGGGUGAUAUGCAGCAUACAUACAACAGGCUGCCAGUGUAUGCUACCACGACUCGCGACAUUAACUCAGGGGCACAAAAUCAGCUCUGCUAAGCUGUGAUGUGCAGGCAUCGUUGAGGUCAGUCAGUCAACACGUAACUCCAAACCCAGAAUUUCGGCUUGCGAAUAGCAAGUAUUGCCUUAUUCGUUGCGAGCUGGCAAGCAGGGCCAGCCAAUGAAGCUCAGUCACCGGCCCUCAAGGAAGCCCCAGAGCUCGCUGAGUUUAUGCCUUGAGAUAUUCGCCGCCCAGAG
This 331-nucleotide small RNA is filed under the name Histoplasma capsulatum. Its description in RNAcentral is "hypothetical RNA". RNAcentral also lists the same sequence under 1 other name. Lineage: Eukaryota; Fungi; Ascomycota; Eurotiomycetes; Onygenales; Ajellomycetaceae. The record is from RNAcentral.